AUAGAGUUGACGAGUCCAAAAUAGGACGAAAUGCGCGUCCUCGAU
RNAcentral lists this non-coding RNA (45 nucleotides) under Schistosoma mansoni. Lineage: Eukaryota; Metazoa; Platyhelminthes; Trematoda; Strigeidida; Schistosomatidae. The record is from RNAcentral.